This 292-nucleotide ribosomal RNA is filed under the name uncultured bacterium. Its description in RNAcentral is "partial 16S ribosomal RNA". It matches the Rfam family "Bacterial small subunit ribosomal RNA", at positions 775 to 1066 of the family's 1533-position model. The record is from RNAcentral.
GGAUUAGAUACCCUGGUAGUCCACGCCGUAAACGAUGGUUACUAGGUGUUGGUAGGGUCAACUUAUCAGUACCGGAGUUCACGCGUUAAGUAACCCGCCUGGGGAGUACGGCCGCAAGGCUAAAACUCAAAGGAAUUGACGGGGGCCCGCACAAGCGGUGGAGUAUGUGGUUUAAUUCGAAGCAACGCGAAGAACCUUACCUGGAUUUGACAUCCUGUGACAGCCUCAGAGAUGGGGUGUCCUGGCAACAGGCACAGAGACAGGUGCUGCAUGGCUGUCGUCAGCUCGUGCC